AUUGAACGCUGGCGGCAGGCCUAACACAUGCAAGUCGAGCGGAUGAAGGGAGCUUGCUCCUGGAUUCAGCGGCGGACGGGUGAGUAAUGCCUAGGAAUCUGCCUGGUAGUGGGGAUAACGUCCGGAAACGGGCGCUAAUACCGCAUACGUCCUGAGGGAGAAAGUGGGGGAUCUUCGGACCUCACGCUAUCAGAUGAGCCUAGGUCGGAUUAGCUAGUUGGUGGGGUAAAGGCCUACCAAGGCGACGAUCCGUAACUGGUCUGAGAGGAUGAUCAGUCACACUGGAACUGAGACACGGUCCAGACUCCUACGGGAGGCAGCAGUGGGGAAUAUUGGACAAUGGGCGAAAGCCUGAUCCAGCCAGGCCGCGUGUGUGAAGAAGGUCUUCGGAUUGUAAAGCACUUUAAGUUGGGAGGAAGGGCAGUAAGUUAAUACCUUGCUGUUUUGACGUUACCAACAGAAUAAGCACCGGCUAACUUCGUG
RNAcentral lists this ribosomal RNA (483 nucleotides) under uncultured bacterium. RNAcentral's name for it is "partial 16S ribosomal RNA". It matches the Rfam family "Bacterial small subunit ribosomal RNA", at positions 30 to 507 of the family's 1533-position model. The record is from RNAcentral.